CAGUCGCCGCGGGAAUACGUAGGUGGCAAGCGUUGUCCGGAAUUAUUGGGCGUAAAGCGCGCGCAGGUGGUUUAAUAAGUCUGAUGUGAAAGCCCACGGCUCAACCGUGGAGGGUCAUUGGAGACUGUUAAACUUGAGUGCAGGAGAGAAAAGUGGAAUUCCUAGUGUAGCGGUGAAAUGCGUAGAGAUUAGGAGGAACACCAGUGGCGAAGGCGGCUUUUUGGCCUGUAACUGACACUGAGGCGCGAAAGCGUGGGGAGCAAACAGGAUUAGAUACCCCUGUAGUCCCUGUCUCUUAUAC
This 301-nucleotide ribosomal RNA is filed under the name uncultured bacterium. Its description in RNAcentral is "partial 16S ribosomal RNA". It matches the Rfam family "Bacterial small subunit ribosomal RNA", at positions 509 to 807 of the family's 1533-position model. The record is from RNAcentral.